This 482-nucleotide ribosomal RNA is filed under the name uncultured bacterium. RNAcentral's name for it is "partial 16S ribosomal RNA". It matches the Rfam family "Bacterial small subunit ribosomal RNA", at positions 30 to 507 of the family's 1533-position model. The record is from RNAcentral.
AUUGAACGCUGGCGGCAUGCCUUACACAUGCAAGUCGAACGGUAACAGGUCUUCGGAUGCUGACGAGUGGCGCACGGGUGAGUAAUACAUCGGAACGUGCCCGAUCGUGGGGGAUAACGAAGCGAAAGCUUUGCUAAUACCGCAUACGAUCUACGGAUGAAAGCAGGGGACCGCAAGGCCUUGCGCGAACGGAGCGGCCGAUGGCAGAUUAGGUAGUUGGUGGGAUAAAAGCUUACCAAGCCGACGAUCUGUAGCUGGUCUGAGAGGACGACCAGCCACACUGGGACUGAGACACGGCCCAGACUCCUACGGGAGGCAGCAGUGGGGAAUUUUGGACAAUGGACGAAAGCCUGAUCCAGCCAUGCCGCGUGCAGGAUGAAGGCCUUCGGGUUGUAAACUGCUUUUGUACGGAACGAAAAGACUCUGGUUAAUACCUGGGGUCCAUGACGGUACCGGAAGAAUAAGCACCGGCUAACUACGUG